GGCGCAUGACAUUUUAUCUUGGCAUGCAGAAGGGCUAAGAGUCCUUCUGCACAUUAAUCACCUUUUUGGGAUAAGGAUUAGAGGGCCAAGAUUAAAUUCCUACCUUUGGUUGAGUGAUUUGACCAAGUCAAAACACAUUUGGAGGGCCAAGAUGGGAUCUUGGUGGCGCCAAUUCUAGAAGGCUAAAAAUUUCUUCGUAACUUUUCACGUAUCAAUUCUCUC
RNAcentral lists this long non-coding RNA (222 nucleotides) under Elaeis guineensis (African oil palm). RNAcentral's name for it is "long non-coding RNA (EGUI_LNC014635)". Lineage: Eukaryota; Viridiplantae; Streptophyta; Magnoliopsida; Arecales; Arecaceae. The record is from RNAcentral.